CGCGCUCCGUCGCCGAAUCCGGCGUGUGGGAAACAACUGCACUCAUGGAACCGGGGAACCACCACUUGGGGUGAAUCGGGCAGCCGGCGGCCACCCGCGGCCGGUCACUCGUAGGAGACCUUCCUGCUCCGAACCCGUCAGCUAACCCGGUAGGCGAGAGGAAGGAAAGG
This is a non-coding RNA of Streptomyces sp., 170 nucleotides long. The record is from Rfam. NCBI's taxonomy places the organism in Bacteria, Bacillati, Actinomycetota, Actinomycetes, Kitasatosporales, Streptomycetaceae.